This 2446-nucleotide ribosomal RNA is filed under the name Escherichia coli. Its description in RNAcentral is "partial 23S ribosomal RNA". It matches the Rfam family "Bacterial large subunit ribosomal RNA", at positions 490 to 2915 of the family's 2925-position model. The record is from RNAcentral. Lineage: Bacteria; Pseudomonadati; Pseudomonadota; Gammaproteobacteria; Enterobacterales; Enterobacteriaceae.
GUGAACCAGUACCGUGAGGGAAAGGCGAAAAGAACCCCGGCGAGGGGAGUGAAAAAGAACCUGAAACCGUGUACGUACAAGCAGUGGGAGCCUCUUUAUGGGGUGACUGCGUACCUUUUGUAUAAUGGGUCAGCGACUUAUAUUCUGUAGCAAGGUUAACCGAAUAGGGGAGCCGAAGGGAAACCGAGUCUUAACUGGGCGUUAAGUUGCAGGGUAUAGACCCGAAACCCGGUGAUCUAGCCAUGGGCAGGUUGAAGGUUGGGUAACACUAACUGGAGGACCGAACCGACUAAUGUUGAAAAAUUAGCGGAUGACUUGUGGCUGGGGGUGAAAGGCCAAUCAAACCGGGAGAUAGCUGGUUCUCCCCGAAAGCUAUUUAGGUAGCGCCUCGUGAAUUCAUCUCCGGGGGUAGAGCACUGUUUCGGCAAGGGGGUCAUCCCGACUUACCAACCCGAUGCAAACUGCGAAUACCGGAGAAUGUUAUCACGGGAGACACACGGCGGGUGCUAACGUCCGUCGUGAAGAGGGAAACAACCCAGACCGCCAGCUAAGGUCCCAAAGUCAUGGUUAAGUGGGAAACGAUGUGGGAAGGCCCAGACAGCCAGGAUGUUGGCUUAGAAGCAGCCAUCAUUUAAAGAAAGCGUAAUAGCUCACUGGUCGAGUCGGCCUGCGCGGAAGAUGUAACGGGGCUAAACCAUGCACCGAAGCUGCGGCAGCGACACUAUGUGUUGUUGGGUAGGGGAGCGUUCUGUAAGCCUGUGAAGGUGUACUGUGAGGUAUGCUGGAGGUAUCAGAAGUGCGAAUGCUGACAUAAGUAACGAUAAAGCGGGUGAAAAGCCCGCUCGCCGGAAGACCAAGGGUUCCUGUCCAACGUUAAUCGGGGCAGGGUGAGUCGACCCCUAAGGCGAGGCCGAAAGGCGUAGUCGAUGGGAAACAGGUUAAUAUUCCUGUACUUGGUGUUACUGCGAAGGGGGGACGGAGAAGGCUAUGUUGGCCGGGCGACGGUUGUCCCGGUUUAAGCGUGUAGGCUGGUUUUCCAGGCAAAUCCGGAAAAUCAAGGCUGAGGCGUGAUGACGAGGCACUACGGUGCUGAAGCAACAAAUGCCCUGCUUCCAGGAAAAGCCUCUAAGCAUCAGGUAACAUCAAAUCGUACCCCAAACCGACACAGGUGGUCAGGUAGAGAAUACCAAGGCGCUUGAGAGAACUCGGGUGAAGGAACUAGGCAAAAUGGUGCCGUAACUUCGGGAGAAGGCACGCUGAUAUGUAGGUGAAGUCCCUUGCGGAUGGAGCUGAAAUCAGUCGAAGAUACCAGCUGGCUGCAACUGUUUAUUAAAAACACAGCACUGUGCAAACACGAAAGUGGACGUAUACGGUGUGACGCCUGCCCGGUGCCGGAAGGUUAAUUGAUGGGGUUAGCGGUAACGCGAAGCUCUUGAUCGAAGCCCCGGUAAACGGCGGCCGUAACUAUAACGGUCCUAAGGUAGCGAAAUUCCUUGUCGGGUAAGUUCCGACCUGCACGAAUGGCGUAAUGAUGGCCAGGCUGUCUCCACCCGAGACUCAGUGAAAUUGAACUCGCUGUGAAGAUGCAGUGUACCCGCGGCAAGACGGAAAGACCCCGUGAACCUUUACUAUAGCUUGACACUGAACAUUGAGCCUUGAUGUGUAGGAUAGGUGGGAGGCUUUGAAGUGUGGACGCCAGUCUGCAUGGAGCCGACCUUGAAAUACCACCCUUUAAUGUUUGAUGUUCUAACGUUGGCCCCUGAUCGGGGUUGCGGACAGUGUCUGGUGGGUAGUUUGACUGGGGCGGUCUCCUCCUAAAGAGUAACGGAGGAGCACGAAGGUUGGCUAAUCCUGGUCGGACAUCAGGAGGUUAGUGCAAUGGCAUAAGCCAGCUUGACUGCGAGCGUGACGGCGCGAGCAGGUGCGAAAGCAGGUCAUAGUGAUCCGGUGGUUCUGAAUGGAAGGGCCAUCGCUCAACGGAUAAAAGGUACUCCGGGGAUAACAGGCUGAUACCGCCCAAGAGUUCAUAUCGACGGCGGUGUUUGGCACCUCGAUGUCGGCUCAUCACAUCCUGGGGCUGAAGUAGGUCCCAAGGGUAUGGCUGUUCGCCAUUUAAAGUGGUACGCGAGCUGGGUUUAGAACGUCGUGAGACAGUUCGGUCCCUAUCUGCCGUGGGCGCUGGAGAACUGAGGGGGGCUGCUCCUAGUACGAGAGGACCGGAGUGGACGCAUCACUGGUGUUCGGGUUGUCAUGCCAAUGGCACUGCCCGGUAGCUAAAUGCGGAAGAGAUAAGUGCUGAAAGCAUCUAAGCACGAAACUUGCCCCGAGAUGAGUUCUCCCUGACUCCUUGAGAGUCCUGAAGGAACGUUGAAGACGACGACGUUGAUAGGCCGGGUGUGUAAGCGCAGCGAUGCGUUGAGCUAACCGGUACUAAUGAACCGUGAGG